RNAcentral lists this ribosomal RNA (253 nucleotides) under uncultured bacterium. RNAcentral's name for it is "partial 16S ribosomal RNA". It matches the Rfam family "Bacterial small subunit ribosomal RNA", at positions 524 to 776 of the family's 1533-position model. The record is from RNAcentral.
UACAGAGGUCCCAAGCGUUGUUCGGAUUCACUGGGCGUAAAGGGUGCGUAGGUGGUGAGGUAAGUCGGAUGUGAAAUCUCCGAGCUCAACUCGGAAAUGGCAUUGGAAACUACCUUGCUAGAGGGUUGGAGGGGGGACUGGAAUGCUUGGUGUAGCAGUGAAAUGCGUAGAUAUCAAGCGGAACACCAGUGGCGAAGGCGAGUCCCUGGACAACUCCUGACACUGAGGCACGAAAGCUAGGGGAGCAAACGGG